Molecule: ribosomal RNA, 253 nt
Filed under: uncultured bacterium
Lineage: Bacteria
Description: partial 16S ribosomal RNA
Rfam family: Bacterial small subunit ribosomal RNA
Source: RNAcentral
UACGUAGGGGGCAAGCGUUGUCCGGAAUCAUUGGGCGUAAAGCGUGCGUAGGCGGUUCGUUAAGUUCGUUGUGAAAGCCCCGGGCUCAACCUGGGAACUGCAAUGGAAACUGGCGGGCUUGAGUGUGGCAGAGGGGGGUGGAAUUCCGCGUGUAGCAGUGAAAUGCGUAGAGAUGCGGAGGAACACCGAUGGCGAAGGCAGCCCCCUGGGCCAACACUGACGCUCAGGCACGAAAGCGUGGGGAGCAAACAGG